Molecule: ribosomal RNA, 465 nt
Filed under: uncultured bacterium
Lineage: Bacteria
Description: partial 16S ribosomal RNA
Rfam family: Bacterial small subunit ribosomal RNA
Source: RNAcentral
GACGAACGCUGGCGGCGUGCUUAACACAUGCAAGUCGAACGGAAAGGCCCCUUUGGGGGUCCUCGAGUGGCGAACGGGUGAGUAACACGUGAGUAACCUGCCCUUGACUUCGGGAUAACUUCAGGAAACUGGGGCUAAUACCGGAUAGGAAUCCUUGCUGCAUGGUGGGGGUUGGAAAGCUUCGGCGGUUUUGGAUGGACUCGCGGCUUAUCAGCUUGUUGGUGGGGUAGUGGCUUACCAAGGCUUUGACGGGUAGCCGGCCUGAGAGGGCGACCGGCCACCUUGGGACUGGGAUACGGCCCAGACUCCUACGGGAGGCAGCAGUGGGGAAUAUUGCACAAUGGGCGGAAGCCUGAUGCAGCAACGCCGCGUGCGGGAUGACGGCCUUCGGGUUGUAAACCGCUUUCAGCAGGGGCGAAGCUUGUGGUGACGGUACCUGCAGAAGAAGCACCGGCUAACUACGUG